RNAcentral lists this transfer RNA (73 nucleotides) under Planctomycetaceae bacterium. Its description in RNAcentral is "tRNA-Ala". It matches the Rfam family "tRNA". From Rfam's summary of the family: Transfer RNA (tRNA) molecules are approximately 80 nucleotides in length. Their secondary structure includes four short double-helical elements and three loops (D, anti-codon, and T loops). Further hydrogen bonds mediate the characteristic L-shaped molecular structure. tRNAs have two regions of fundamental functional importance: the anti-codon, which is responsible for specific mRNA codon recognition, and the 3' end, to which the tRNAs corresponding amino acid is attached (by aminoacyl-tRNA synthetases). tRNAs cope with the degeneracy of the genetic code in two manners: having more than one tRNA (with a specific anti-codon) for a particular amino acid; and 'wobble' base-pairing, i.e. permitting non-standard base-pairing at the 3rd anti-codon position. The record is from RNAcentral. Lineage: Bacteria; Pseudomonadati; Planctomycetota; Planctomycetia; Planctomycetales; Planctomycetaceae.
GGGGCGGUAGCUCAGUUGGGAGAGCGCUGCGUUCGCAAUGCAGAUGUCGAGGGUUCACCUCCCUUCCGCUCCA